GGCGGACGGGUGAGUAACGACGUGAACAAUCUGUCUCACACAGGGGAAGUAACGCAUCGAAAGAUGUGCUAAUACCGCAUAGGACCACGGAGUCGCAUGGCGCUGAGGUGAAAGGAGCAAUCCGGUGUGAGGUGAGUUCGCGUCUGAUUAGAUAGUUGGUGAGGUAACGGCCCACCAAGUCAACGAUCAGUAGCCGACCUGAGAGGGUGAUCGGCCACAUUGGGACUGAGACACGGCCCAGACUCCUACGGGAGGCAGCAGUGGGGAAUAUUGGGCAAUGGGCGAAAGCCUGACCCAGCAACGCCGCGUGAAGGAAGAAGGUUUUCGGAUCGUAAACUUCUGUCCUUGGUGAAGAGAAGGAGACGGUAGCCAAGGAGGAAGCCCCGGCUAACUACGUGCCAGCAGCUGC
RNAcentral lists this ribosomal RNA (409 nucleotides) under uncultured bacterium. RNAcentral's name for it is "bacterial SSU rRNA". It matches the Rfam family "Bacterial small subunit ribosomal RNA", at positions 97 to 518 of the family's 1533-position model. The record is from RNAcentral.